Molecule: non-coding RNA, 712 nt
Organism: Schizosaccharomyces pombe (fission yeast)
Lineage: Eukaryota; Fungi; Ascomycota; Schizosaccharomycetes; Schizosaccharomycetales; Schizosaccharomycetaceae
Source: the annotation of a GenBank genome assembly
AACAAGAGAUAGGUUAACGACAAGUCCGCACUUACGUGUAGGUUUCUUCUAAUACUGAGAUAAUUGCGUUACGGAUCGUUAAAAUGAGCGAAAUAUGAGUUUCUAGGUCAAUAUUGCCAAAGACCGUUCGAAACUUCAGACCCCAAUUAUUAAAAUUGUACUUUAGCUGAAAAUUGAAUAUACUUUAGCUUUCUGUCGUUUGCUUCAUCCAUUUUUGGUAUUGACAUUAAAACAAUUACCUAGCCGAAAGAGGCUUGUUAUGUAACAUACUCGAACGAAACUUAUCCAAAUGUGUUUUAGGGUAACUUCAUUAGGUAAGGUAACGAACACACUAAAGGUAUGAAAUUUGCGACUAAUUAUGAUGAAGUGAUAAACAUAACGCGCUUGAAUUAGUUAAUACUUGAUUUGAUUAUUGUGUGUUCAUGUAGUCGAUAAGAUGAAUUAAAUGAACAUGAAUUUUCAAUUAUGAAUAUUUUAAGUCGAAGAUACCUUUCAUAAAGCGAGAAGUUUUGAAGUAUUUUAGAUAUAACGGCUAUCGCCGUUUCAAGAACCAAAGCAGCCGCAGAUUAUUAUAACGCGACAUAAAAGGUUGAAUUCCCCAGCAAAUACAACUGUAGUUCUCGUAUUGACCUUGAGUAUAUUCUAUGACAAUUAACUUAUUACAGAUAUUAGGAUGUAACACAAUAUGAGAGAAGCUAUAUGAUUUGCAGUA